Molecule: ribosomal RNA, 441 nt
Filed under: uncultured bacterium
Lineage: Bacteria
Description: partial 16S ribosomal RNA
Rfam family: Bacterial small subunit ribosomal RNA
Source: RNAcentral
CCUACGUGGGGCAGCAGUGGGGAAUAUUGCACAAUGGGGGAAACCCUGACGCAGCGACGCCGCGUGAGGGAUGGAGCGUUUCGGCGCGUAAAGCCCUGUCAGCGGGGAAGAAGGAAGACGGUACCCGACCACGGAGCCUCGGCUAACCACGCACCAGCAGCCGCGGUAAUACGGAGGGGGCGAGCGUUAACCGGAAUUACUGGGUGUAAAGGGAUCGUAGACGGCGAGGUAAGCCUGGAGUGGAAGCCCGCGGCCCAACCGCGGAACUGCUUUGGGAACUGGCUUGCUGGAGUAUGGGAGGGGUAAGCGGAAUUCCUGGUGUAGCAGUGAAAUCCGUAGAUAUCAGGAGGAACAUCGGUGGCGAAGGCGACUAACUGGAACAUAACUGACGCUGAGGCGCGAAAGCGUGGGGAGCGAACAGGAUUAGAUACCCGGGUAGUC